This is a long non-coding RNA of Homo sapiens (human), 1867 nucleotides long. Ensembl annotates it as lncRNA induced by TGF-beta and antagonizes TGF-beta signaling 1. Its record names the gene LITATS1. The record is from Ensembl. Lineage: Eukaryota; Metazoa; Chordata; Mammalia; Primates; Hominidae.
AAGCGGGGGUCGGAGCCUCAAGGCUGCGGCGGCGACGAGCUCCGAGCGGGACACUGAACGGCCCGUAUGCGCAAGAUAAGCACGGACUGAAUCAGGUACACGCACCUGCCGGGGACGCACUGACCGAGGUGCGGACGGCGGUACCAGGACAGGUAAAGCCGCGAACACUCGGACCUAAGAACUUGACAGGUACACCCUGCCUGAUGAAGCUACGUACGGCCAGGUGCGCAUCGAGUGAAUCAGGUUAGAGCUGGGCAAAGAGGAAGCUGCUCAGGAUUGGAAGGUGGGAGAGAAGCAUCAGCCAUCACUCUCUGAGGUCGCCACAGUCAGAUGGAGUGACAGAUGAAGAGAUGCCUGGUGGGUCCCAGCUUGUCCUCGUUCUUCUCCCUUUGCCUCCAGCUCUUCUCCCUGGCUACCUACCCUGUUGGCCAAUGGCGGCUCAUGCUCAUCACCAGGCAUGUGGCUGCAGACACACGGAGGUGGGAGCCAUGCAGAGGCACCGGCUCUUCACAACCCUCUCUGCCAGCACCCGUUUCAGGGUCCUCCUUUGAUGUUGGGUGUGCUUGGCUUCUCCAAGUGACAGGUUAGUGCCUCCCCUGGGCCUCCAUCUGAUCUUCUGGACCUUUGCUUCCGCAGCUUCCCUCAAUUAUGCAAAUUCUAGGUCUGAUUCCUAGAAUAAAUACUGGAUCUCAAAGCACUCACAGGAUUCUGCUCCCCUGGCUGAACUCUGGUGGAAAUGAUGUCAUGUGACUUCGAAACUAGGCCUUAAGAGUCCUUGCAGUUUUCCCUGUCCUGAGGCCACAUCAUGCUGUGAAAAAACCCAACUUAGCAGAGGCUGAGAAGUUACACGGAGGAGAAUGGAAGAGCCCUGGUCAAUACACACAACUGUGAAAAAAAUAACUCACUGUAGACAUUUUUUUUAGGCUGAGAAAAUAUUUUUCUAUUAAUUGGUUGAUCUGUCAUUAUAUUCCAUUGCAUAGUCAGUGAUAAUAUACUAAGUAAAGUUUAGUGUAACCAUAUUAGAAUAAUCUAAAUUUGAAGAUAUUUAUUAGCUUUAUUAACUUAUACAAAAUAAAAUUCACUGCUUUUUUAUCGUGGUAAAAUAUAGACAACAUACAAUUAACCAUUUCAGCUACUUUUAGGUGUGCAGGUCAGUGGCAUUAGGUACAGUCACAUUGUUGUAUAAACAUCAUCACUAUCCACCUCCAGAACUUUUUCAUCAUUCCAGACAGAAACUCUGUAGCCAUUACACAACAAUUCCCCAUUCCCCCACCCCUUAGUGUAGGUUUUUUUUUCCCCAUUUUUUUUUGAGAAAGGGUCUCACUCUCUCACCUAGGCUGGAGUGCAGUGGCAGGAUCAUGCUCACUGUAACCUCCAACUCCUGGGUUCAAGUGAUCCUCCCACCUCAGCCUCCUGAGUAGCUAGGACUACAGACGUGUGCCACCAAGCCUAGCUUUUUAUUUUAUUUUUUGUAGAGAUGGGAAGGAGGCUGGCUAUGUUGCCCAGGUGCCCUCAGUGUAGUUUUAGGCCACUAAAUUUUGGGGUACGUUGUUACACAGCCGUAGAUAACUGAACAUUCAUACUUGGUGAGGUCAUAUGCUCUAAUUUUCUAGUUUAAAAAAUAGUUUCUCAGGCAAAACUAUGGAGAUGGUAAAAAGAUUUGUGUUUGCCAGGGGUUCUUGGGGUAAGGGUGGGAAGGUAUGAGUAGGUAGAGCAUAGAAGAUCUUUAGGGCAGUGAAAAUGCUCUGUAUGAUACUAUAAUGGGGAUACCCAGAGAGAACCAUGAUGCAAACUAUGGACUGUGGACUCUGGGUGGUGAUGAUGUUUCAUUGUAGGUUCAUCAAUGGUAACAAAUUCUUUUAUACCA